UACGUAGGGUGCAAGCGUUAAUCGGAAUUACUGGGCGUAAAGCGUGCGCAGGCGGUUUUGUAAGUCAGAUGUGAAAUCCCCGGGCUUAACCUGGGAACUGCGUUUGAAACUACAAGGCUAGAGUGUGACAGAGGGGGGUGGAAUUCCACGUGUAGCAGUGAAAUGCGUAGAGAUGUGGAGGAACACCGAUGGCGAAGGCAGCCCCCUGGGUUAACACUGACGCUCAGGCACGAAAGCGUGGGGAGCGAACAGG
This 253-nucleotide ribosomal RNA is filed under the name uncultured bacterium. Its description in RNAcentral is "partial 16S ribosomal RNA". It matches the Rfam family "Bacterial small subunit ribosomal RNA", at positions 524 to 776 of the family's 1533-position model. The record is from RNAcentral.